UUUAGGAUUCGUAUGCUGACACAAAUACGCUGAUCUGGAGAUGUUCUUAAGACUUGCCAUUCAGUAACUCAUGAACAAUAGCUGUGUUAAAGAAUUCAUCGACACGAACUUCUUGUUUUAUUAACAUACAUCUUUGUAUGACUCAAGUGUGGUUUUUGUCAACAAAUUCUUUUUAUGUUCAAACCAAAGUCUUAUAUUUUUUUCUUUUUGGGUCCUUUCAUACUUCAUAAUCUCUGAGUUUCUGGACCAUAGAGUUCUUUGUUGAAUAUCAAAGAAAAAUGUUUUGCUUCUGAAAGACUGGUGACUUGUAGAAUACCUUUAUGUCAAUAUUUGUCUUAAAGAUUAGUUGCUCAUGUAAACACCUGAAUUGAGAUGUUCUUAAACCUUGUGGUUUAGUAGCACGUGAACAAUGACUGUGUUGUUAAAAUUGUUGACAUGACCUUGCUGUUUUAGUGACAUCUUCCAUAUUUUUUUUUUGAUAAGAAAAGAAAUAUCAGUCAGGACAAGAAAAGAUAAAGUACAAUACCGGAGGAUAAUAUAUCUUCCUAGAGUCUUUUAGUACAAGAAUGCCAGAAUAAGUUACAGGAAACCCAACAAAUAUCAGUUUAUUGUCGUCCCCAGUUCCUAUGUAACACAGAAAUGUAAUGUAUCAGUAAAUUGCCAAUCGGCCUUAGCCUAUAAGAAGGCCAUGAAUGUCCCAUGUUCCCAGAGAACUUGAGUAGGGAAGGUACUAUCUUCAAAAAUUAUGUUGUUCUAUUCCAUGUGUAGUGUCCACAGUCCUGCAAACAAAGCAUGCCUCUUUAGUAUUUUACGUCUUUUCUUAUCCCCUCUCCAUAUAGAUUCAAACUCAUGAAGUAAUCCACAGAAGGAACGAAUCCCAUCAAU
RNAcentral lists this long non-coding RNA (885 nucleotides) under Carica papaya (papaya). RNAcentral describes it as "long non-coding RNA (CPAP_LNC013643)". Lineage: Eukaryota; Viridiplantae; Streptophyta; Magnoliopsida; Brassicales; Caricaceae. The record is from RNAcentral.